UACAGAGGGUGCAAGCGUUAAUCGGAAUUACUGGGCGUAAAGGGUGCGUAGGUGGUUUUAUAAGUUAGGUGUGAAAGCCCUGGGCUUAACCUGGGAAUUGCGCUUAAGACUGUAAAACUAGAGUACUGUAGAGGGAGGUGGAAUUUCCGGUGUAGCGGUGAAAUGCGUAGAUAUCGGAAGGAACACCAGUGGCGAAGGCGACUUCCUGGACAGAUACUGACACUGAGGCACGAAAGCAUGGGGAGCAAACAGGAUUAGAUACCCUGGUAGUCCAUGCUGUAAACGAUGAGGACUGGCUGUUGGAAGCCGUGAGGCUUUUAGUAGCGAAGCUAACGCGAUAAGUUCUCCGCCUGGGGAGUACGGCCGCAAGGCUAAA
This 376-nucleotide ribosomal RNA is filed under the name uncultured bacterium. RNAcentral describes it as "bacterial SSU rRNA". It matches the Rfam family "Bacterial small subunit ribosomal RNA", at positions 524 to 898 of the family's 1533-position model. The record is from RNAcentral.